Molecule: ribosomal RNA, 1285 nt
Filed under: uncultured bacterium
Lineage: Bacteria
Description: partial 16S ribosomal RNA
Rfam family: Bacterial small subunit ribosomal RNA
Source: RNAcentral
ACUUAGUGGCGAACGGGUGAGUAACGCGUGAGUAAUCUGCCUUUAGGUGGGGGACAACAGCCGGAAACGGCUGCUAAUACCGCAUAAUGUACCGGAUGGCAUCUUCCGAUACCAAAGAUUUAUCGCCUAAAGAUGAGCUCGCGUCCGAUUAGAUAGUUGGUGGGGUAACGGCCUACCAAGUCUGCGAUCGGUAGCCGGGUUGAGAGACUGAUCGGCCACAUUGGGACUGAGAUACGGCCCAGACUCCUACGGGAGGCAGCAGUGGGGAAUAUUGGGCAAUGGGGGAAACCCUGACCCAGCAACGCCGCGUGAAGGAAGAAGGCUUUCGGGUUGUAAACUUCUUUGACGAGGGACGAAACAAAUGACGGUACCUCGAAAACAAGCCCCGGCUAACUAUGUGCCAGCAGCCGCGGUAAUACAUAGGGGGCGAGCGUUAUCCGGAAUUAUUGGGCGUAAAGGGUACGUAGGCGGGCCUGCAAGUCUGAUUUGAAAGCACACGGCUUAACCGUGUGAGGUAAUUAGAAACUACAGGUCUAGAGAGUGGUAGAGGUAAAUGGAAUUCCAAGUGGAGCGGUGAAAUGCGUAGAGAUUUGGAGGAACACCAGUGGCGAAGGCGGUUUACUGGGCCACAUCUGACGCUGAUGUACGAAAGCGUGGGGAGCAAACAGGAUUAGAUACCCUGGUAGUCCACGCCGUAAACGAUGAGUGAUAAGUAUCGGAGGAUUCGGUGCUUAAGCUAACGCAGUAAGCACUCCGCCUGGGGAGUACGGUCGCAAGACUGAAACUCAAAGGAAUAGACGGGGACUCGCACAAGCGGUGGAGCAUGCGGUUUAAUUCGAUGCAACGCGAAGAACCUUCCCAGGUCUUGACAGCGUAAAGAAUACUUAAGAGAUUAAGGGCUAAGAAUUAAGCUUGCUUAUUUCACUUUAUAAACAGGUGGUGCAUGGUUGUCGUCAGCUCGUGUCGUGAGAUGUUGGGUUAAGUCCCGCAACGAGCGCAACCCCUAUUGCUAGUUGCCAUCAUUAAGUUGGGCACUCUAGCAAGACUGCCGGUGACAAAUCGGAUGAAGGUGGGGGGGACGUCAAAUCAUCAUGCCCCCUAUGACCUGGGGUACACGCGUGCUACAAUGGCUAAUACAAAGAGUUGCAAAACCGUGAGGUAGAGCUAAUCUCAUAAAGUUAGUCUCAGUUCGGAUUGUAGUCUGCAACUCGACUACACGAAGUAGGAAUCGCUAGUAAUCGUAAAUCAGAAUGUUACGGUGAAUAAGGUCUCGAGUCUUGUACAC